RNAcentral lists this long non-coding RNA (1306 nucleotides) under Panax ginseng (ginseng). RNAcentral describes it as "long non-coding RNA (PGIN_LNC004116)". Lineage: Eukaryota; Viridiplantae; Streptophyta; Magnoliopsida; Apiales; Araliaceae. The record is from RNAcentral.
AUUGCAAGUACUCAACAAAUUAAUUCAAGUACGAAAGGAAUAAUAUAUAAUAGAAAAUUUUGCUCAAUAUUGAAAUAUAAGCAAAAGUUAAGAAACUUGAGCGCCCGCUACAAAGUUAUGAUAUACGUCCUUUAAAUAUCCUACACAUUUUAGUCAUGAUAAUACAUUGAUUAGCUAUGAAACAAUGUUCACUAACCUCUUACACUAACUCCAUUCUAUGACCCAUCAUUCUUUGAUGUGAAUACGACUUGUUAUUAUAUCUUUUUACACACUUAACACCUCAUUAUGUUCAUUAGAAUAAGUUAAGUAAAACAUCUCCCAAUAUGUACAUUUAAAAUCUCAUUACUUGGCCUGAUCUACCACCAGCGCGGCCGCGCCACAUUUGGCCUUGGUACCAGCGUGGCAGCGCUUUUGCGCAGUCGAGCCCAGUUAAGCUUGGAUCAUGGUGUGACAGUGCCCUCCUGCAGAAUAAGUUUUCCAAUUUUGUUUCAUACUCUGUUUCCAUCUGAACUUUCUAUCUUAUUCAUUUAGGGACCAAAUCAGAUAGUUUACAAUUCUAUAAACUCGCUACACACUGAACUACACAUUUACAUAACAAUUUUUCCAUUACAGGAAUUCUAUCCAACCAUUUAAAUAACCCAAAUUCAGUAUUCAUGUUAUAUAUUCCUAUUUUAACAUAUUUUACGAAUUCGUUGUAAGUCCGAUUUAAUUCAUUCAAACUGGAUUGUUUUUGUAUUUGAGAGAUAUAUAACAUAGAAUCAUCAAUUCAAGACUUUAAACAUAAUAUUAGAACCAAUUUAUCCUCUAAAUCAGAGCCAAAAUAUCUAAAAUCAGUCCAAAGUCUAUUUCUUUCUCUUUUACACACAAAUUCUAAUUUGAUUACUCUAAUUUUACUGUAAAUGACAAAAAUCAAAUUAUUAAUCAAUUGAAAUCACGUAAUUUGAAAUUUUCACCAACUCAUUCAACCAAACAACUUCUAAUAGAGAAAAACUUAAGAAAUAGGAAUAAGAAGUUUUGAAGUGUCUUUCCUACCUCUUAGAUCUUCUUUAGCCUAGUUAGAUUAUGAAGAAUGCUUGGUUAACUCUUCCUUCUUCUCCUUGAUCAACAAAGUUUUCUCCAUACUUCGCAGGAAGCCCAUUGACGCUCUUUCUCUCUCUUUGAGUUCUCUCAAUUUUCUCUCUACCGGAUUUCUUCUUAACGAAAUGGAAUAAUAAGGAAAUGAGAGUAAUAUACUUGUAAUUAAUUAACCGAUCGGUUAAGGAAUGGAAGGUCAGAGCCGUUUGGGAGAGCUCAGGUACAUUUCAAG